GACGAACGCUGGCGGCGUGCUUAACACAUGCAAGUCGAACGGAAAGGCCCCUUUGGGGGUACUCGAGUGGCGAACGGGUGAGUAACACGUGAGUAACCUGCCCUUGACUUCGGGAUAACUUCAGGAAACUGGGGCUAAUACCGGAUAGGAAUCCUUGCUGCAUGGUGGGGGUUGGAAAGCUUCGGCGGUUUUGGAUGGACUCGCGGCUUAUCAGCUUGUUGGUGGGGUAGUGGCUUACCAAGGCUUUGACGGGUAGCCGGCCUGAGAGGGCGACCGGCCACAUUGGGACUGAGAUACGGCCCAGACUCCUACGGGAGGCAGAAGUGGGGAAGAUUGCACAAUGGGCGGAAGCCUGAUGCAGCAACGCCGCGGGCGGGAGGACGGCCUUCGGGUUGUAAACCGCUUUCAGCAGGGGCGAAGCUUGUGGUGACGGUACCUGCAGAAGAAGCACCGGCUAACUACGUG
This 465-nucleotide ribosomal RNA is filed under the name uncultured bacterium. Its description in RNAcentral is "partial 16S ribosomal RNA". It matches the Rfam family "Bacterial small subunit ribosomal RNA", at positions 28 to 507 of the family's 1533-position model. The record is from RNAcentral.